GAUCAUGCUCAGGAUGAACGCUGGCGGCAUGCCUAAUACAUGCAAGUCGAACGAGAGGAAGGAAAGCUUGCUUUUCUGAAUCUAGUGGCGAACGGGUGAGUAACACGUAGGUAACCUGCCCAUGUGCCCGGGAUAACUUCUGGAAACGGAUGCUAAAACCGGAUAGGUAGCAGACAAGCAUUUGACUGCUAUUAAAGUGGCCUUGGCCAUGAACAUGGAUGGACCUGCGGUG
This 232-nucleotide ribosomal RNA is filed under the name uncultured bacterium. RNAcentral's name for it is "partial 16S ribosomal RNA". It matches the Rfam family "Bacterial small subunit ribosomal RNA", at positions 15 to 238 of the family's 1533-position model. The record is from RNAcentral.